UCACACGGAACUAGCCGGUCCAUAAACCGGAGGAAGGUGGGGAGUGACGUCAAGUCAGCAUGGCCUUUAUAUCCUGGGCUACACACACGCUACAAUGGGAAGGGACAAUAGGUUGCGAAGCCGCGAGGUGGAGCCAAUCCAGUAAAACUUCCCUCAGUUCAGAUUGCAGGCUGCAACUCGCCUGCAUGAAGUUGGAGUUGCUAGUAAACGCAGGUCAGCCAUACUGCGUUGAAUACGUUCCCGGGGCUU
This 249-nucleotide ribosomal RNA is filed under the name uncultured Anaerolineaceae bacterium. RNAcentral describes it as "partial 16S ribosomal RNA". It matches the Rfam family "Bacterial small subunit ribosomal RNA", at positions 1139 to 1382 of the family's 1533-position model. The record is from RNAcentral. Lineage: Bacteria; Bacillati; Chloroflexota; Anaerolineae; Anaerolineales; Anaerolineaceae.